UUAGCGGCGGACGGGUGAGUAACACGUGGGUAACCUGCCCAUAAGACUGGGAUAACUCCGGGAAACCGGGGCUAAUACCGGAUAAUAUUUUGAACUGCAUGGUUCGAAAUUGAAAGGCGGCUUCGGCUGUCACUUAUGGAUGGACCCGCGUCGCAUUAGCUAGUUGGUGAGGUAACGGCUCACCAAGGCAACGAUGCGUAGCCGACCUGAGAGGGUGAUCGGCCACACUGGGACUGAGACACGGCCCAGACUCCUACGGGAGGCAGCAGUAGGGAAUCUUCCGCAAUGGACGAAAGUCUGACGGAGCAACGCCGCGUGAGUGAUGAAGGCUUUCGGGUCGUAAAACUCUGUUGUUAGGGAAGAACAAGUGCUAGUUGAAUAAGCUGGCACCUUGACGGUACCUAACCAGAAAGCCACGGCUAACUACGUGCCAGCAGCCGCGGUAAUACGUAGGUGGCAAGCGUUAUCCGGAAUUAUUGGGCGUAAAGCGCGCGCAGGUGGUUUCUUAAGU
RNAcentral lists this ribosomal RNA (511 nucleotides) under bacterium W6(2005). RNAcentral's name for it is "bacterial SSU rRNA". It matches the Rfam family "Bacterial small subunit ribosomal RNA", at positions 92 to 588 of the family's 1533-position model. The record is from RNAcentral.